RNAcentral lists this ribosomal RNA (341 nucleotides) under uncultured rumen bacterium. RNAcentral's name for it is "partial 16S ribosomal RNA". The record is from RNAcentral.
UAUUCCCCACUGCUGCCUCCCGUAGGAGUCUGGGCCGUGUCUCAGUCCCAGUGUGGCCGUCCGCCCUCUCAGGCGGGCUACGCAUCGUCGACUUGGUGGGCCGUUGCCCCGCCAACAAGCUAAUGCGCCACAGGCCCAUCCUUCAGCCGUCCCCUAAAGGACGUUUAACGUGGACGGGAUGUCCCGUCCGCGCCUAUGCGGUCUUAGCAGCCGUUUCCAGCUGUUGUCCCCCUCUGAAGGGCAGGUUGCCCAUGUGCUACUCACCCGUUCGCCACUGAGCGCCGAAGCGCUCCGUCCGACUUGCAUGUAUUAGGCACGCCGCCAGCGUUCAUCCUGAGCCA